UACGUAUGGAGCAAGCGUUAUCCGGAUUUACUGGGUGUAAAGGGUGCGUAGGUGGUAUGGCAAGUCAGAAGUGAAAACCCGGGGCUCAACCCCGUGGAUUGCUUUUGAAACUGUCAAACUAGAGUAUAGGAGAGGCAAGCGGAAUUCCUAGUGUAGCGGUGAAAUGCGUAGAUAUUAGGAGGAACACCAGUGGCGAAGGCGGCUUGCUGGACUAAAACUGACACUGAGGCACGAAAGCGUGGGGAGCAAA
RNAcentral lists this ribosomal RNA (250 nucleotides) under uncultured prokaryote. Its description in RNAcentral is "partial 16S ribosomal RNA". It matches the Rfam family "Bacterial small subunit ribosomal RNA", at positions 524 to 772 of the family's 1533-position model. The record is from RNAcentral.